RNAcentral lists this unclassified non-coding RNA (256 nucleotides) under fungal sp. RNAcentral describes it as "partial internal transcribed spacer region". The stretch from base 1 to 46 matches the Rfam family "Eukaryotic small subunit ribosomal RNA", at positions 1786 to 1831 of the family's 1831-position model. The record is from RNAcentral. Lineage: Eukaryota; Fungi.
AAGGCGUAACAAGGUUUCCGUAGGUGAACCUGCGGAAGGAUCAUUAACACGUAUCCAACGUUAAUCAGAGUUCUGAAAGCGUCUUUGAUUGUGUAAGGGUGGCGCAAACACGAUCGUUGGAGGCUGACACGGCCGACGACCGUGUCCCCUUCGUCACCAUGCCCCUUAAUCACCACACUGUAACGCCGACAGGUCGCGAUAAUUCCGCUGACCACAAAAAACCGAACAACUGUUAACAAUGGAUAUCUUGGUUCUC